RNAcentral lists this long non-coding RNA (623 nucleotides) under Jatropha curcas. RNAcentral describes it as "long non-coding RNA (JCUR_LNC003257)". The record is from RNAcentral. Lineage: Eukaryota; Viridiplantae; Streptophyta; Magnoliopsida; Malpighiales; Euphorbiaceae.
AACCAAUCAAAAUUAAAUUACUUUUAUUUUUUUCAACCAAUAAAAUUAAAAUCCUUAAAUAUAUUAUAUUCUUACCAUAUUUAGUGUAUACCUCAUAUACUAUAUAAUAUAUGUCACGACCCAUUUCCGUGGGCCGGACCGGCACUAGGGCCCAGGUAAGCUUAAGGCCCCCGAGGCCCGUAGUAAGCCUAAAUCUCAAUUAACACAUAGUAUCUAACCAGGGCCUAUUCACAAUAAAUUAUAAUCACAUUAUGGGCUUACUGGCUCACCUGCAGCUAAUUACAUAAUAUUUAAUUUAUAGUGUAGUGCUAACAAUAAAUCCAAUAGUAAUACACAACCCUAUAACUGCGGAGUUCAAUAAUAAUCUGAUAAUAGAGUAACUUAUACAUCCAAAAUUAGACAACAGAAAUGUAAAGUUUACAUUUAUAACUCUGCGGAGAAGAUUGCAGAGCUUCAGUCGAAUCAGCUGCUUCCUAGUACCUGGGAGGUUUGGAGAGAAGGGGGUGAGUUUUACAACUCAGUGAAUAAUAAUAAAUAAUACACACCACAUACAGUCAAGCAAAAUGCACCCUAGUAUACUGAAUGAACACACAACAGUCAAUCAUAUGACAUUACAUCAGCAC